Molecule: ribosomal RNA, 433 nt
Filed under: uncultured bacterium
Lineage: Bacteria
Description: partial 16S ribosomal RNA
Rfam family: Bacterial small subunit ribosomal RNA
Source: RNAcentral
UGGGGAAUUUUGGACAAUGGGCGAAAGCCUGAUCCAGCAAUGCCGCGUGUGUGAAGAAGGCCUUCGGGUUGUAAAGCACUUUUGUCCGGAAAGAAAUCCUUGGCUCUAAUACAGUCGGGGGAUGACGGUACCGGAAGAAUAAGCACCGGCUAACUACGUGCCAGCAGCCGCGGUAAUACGUAGGGUGCAAGCGUUAAUCGGAAUUACUGGGCGUAAAGCGUGCGCAGGCGGUUUGCUAAGACCGAUGUGAAAUCCCCGGGCUCAACCUGGGAACUGCAUUGGUGACUGGCAGGCUAGAGUAUGGCAGAGGGGGGUAGAAUUCCACGUGUGAGCAGUGAAAUGCGUAGAGAUGUGGAGGAAUACCGAUGGCGAAGGCAGCCCCCUGGGCCAAUACUGACGCUCAUGCACGAAAGCGUGGGGAGCAAACAGGAUU